GACGAACGCUGGCGGCGUGCUUAACACAUGCAAGUCGAACGGUGAAGCGCCUUCCUUUUUGGUGGGUGUGGAUGAGUGGCGAACGGGUGAGUAACACGUGAGUAACCUGCCCCCUUCUUCUGGAUAACCGCAUGAAAGUGUGGCUAAUACGGGAUAUUCUGGGUCUGUCGCAUGAUGGGUCUGGGAAAGAUUUUGUUUCGGUGGGGGAUGGGCUCGCGGCCUAUCAGCUUGUUGGUGGGGUGAUGGCCUACCAAGGCGGUGACGGGUAGCCGGCCUGAGAGGGUGGACGGUCACACUGGGACUGAGAGACGGCGCAGACUACUACGGGCGGCAGCAGUGGGGAAUAGUGCACAAUGGGCGCAAGCCUGAUGCAGCGACGCCGCGUGAGGGAUGGAGGCCGUCGGGUUGUGAACCUCUUUCGCCAGUGAAGCAGGCCUGCCUCGUUUGUGGGUGGGUUGACGGUAGCUGGAUAAGAAGCGCCGGCUAACUACGUG
Molecule: ribosomal RNA, 494 nt
Filed under: uncultured bacterium
Lineage: Bacteria
Description: partial 16S ribosomal RNA
Rfam family: Bacterial small subunit ribosomal RNA
Source: RNAcentral